CCCCUAGAUGUUCUGGGCCGCACGCGCGCUACACUGAACAGUUCAACAAGUCUUAACCUUGGCCGAUAGGUCUGGGUAAUCUUUGAACGCUGUUCCUGAUUGGGAUAGACCUUUGCAAUUAUGGGUCUUCAACGAGGAAUUCCUAGUAAACGCAAGUCAUCAGCUUGCAUUGAUUACGUCCCUGCCCUUUGUACACACCGCCCGUCGCACCUACCGAUUGAAUGGUCCGGUGAAAUCUCGGGACGGCGGCUUGGUCGCUUGCGUCCGACUGCUGAAACUUGAUUAAACCAUAUCAUUUAGAGGAAGGUGAAGUCGUAACA
This 320-nucleotide ribosomal RNA is filed under the name uncultured eukaryote. RNAcentral's name for it is "partial 18S ribosomal RNA". It matches the Rfam family "Eukaryotic small subunit ribosomal RNA", at positions 1470 to 1796 of the family's 1831-position model. The record is from RNAcentral.